AUGCAGGAGGGCAUUAGUGGUAGAGCACCAGGGGGGAGGCCGCAAUGCCAAAUGAAAGGGCAAGAGUGGAGUGUGUACUUCAACACACUUGCCAUGUGCUCUGUCAGCCCUGCUGCUGCCUAUAAUGGCAUGAGAAGGGCCACUUAACUCGUAAUCACUUCUCUCUUUCCCCCCCUCGGCCGCGUCCUCCUCUCCGUCGUCCUCAACCCCGGAUUUCAGACCGUCGGCUCUGAUCUCUAAUCAUAAAUGAAGCGGAGUUCAAGAGCAGGGACAGUGGUCCACACCCCUCUACCCCCUCGGCUGGGAUCCUGUAAUCACGGGCUCCGAGAGGCCAGCAGGCUUUUGAAUGAGAGAUGACUGCAGCACCUCUAAUGCAUCAGCCACUUCCACUUUGAAGAGCCAUUUUCUGGAGGAGAGAGUAUCAGAGGCAGACAGGCUAAAAAGCAAGAUGAGCAACAGCGGGUCAAUCUCACUUUCCGCUGCUCUGUUGUGUGCUUGCCACAGGAGGUUGAAAUGUUCAUCAAAACUCAAAAGAUGGAAAAGCUACCAGAGACUGAAAGUACAAGAUCAUGGACAUCAGCAGAACAGUGUCUGGACCCUUUGAGUUUUUUUCAAUCAAAUAUUCAACUUUGACAUUACUUGUUUAAGAGGCUGUAGCUUGAAAACAGAUAAGGAUGAAGGGAUAAUGUAAAAGAGAAGAAUCUUUGAUAUGACCAAACAUUUGGGAUGGAAGUAGAUUCACUCAUAUAAUUUGUAUUUUAUGACAUCAACCGGCGCUGGCCAAAGUCAAUCACAUAACUCUUACACGUGACAUUCUUCCUAAUCUCUCAAUCAUCGAUGAUGAUGAUGUCUGGGCAUCAUCAUCAUCACCGGAAUAUGAACUUCGUCUGCUGUUACUCGCAUGUUUUCUUUUCACAAUUCACACUACCACCAUCAUUGUGUUUCGACCAUGAAUCCGCUCCGGAAUGUGACUCUUGUGGAGGCGUCAUAGGGACUGGACGCACUAGCACUACAUGCAGAAGCCGCGCUGCCGACUGCUGUAGUCACUUUCUGUCCCACUGCAUGAGCUCCAUCAGAGCAUGAAUAUUAAUCUGAAUCUGGCACUGUCAUAUCCACUCUCUUGCCCUCUGUUUUGCACCUACUGCGGCACAAUGUAAAGAAUAUAACUCAAGAUUGUCUUGGGAGCACCUCAACACUGAGGAGGUUUUUUUGGAUAAAGGAAAGUCGGAGGCUCCGAGUGUAGGUUGCUGUCUCCUUGACCAAAACUCAGGCAGCCGCCUUGGCAAUGACCGCUUCCUGAUAAGAUGACAUUCUCCAGAAAAAAAAAGGUGAUAUUUAAAAAUGUUAGCACAUACUGUAUUCAGCAGCUACAAACAUCUCGUCACACAAUCUCUUGUUCUCACUCACCCUCUCACACAGCCACAAUUGAACACCAAAAUAAAACUGAGAGAACACAACUUUUCCCUUCCUCUCCCCCAUUGGUUACCAUCAAUACUAAAAACGUAUCAGCUGCAAGGCCGGGACUGACAACAAUAAUCUGAUAUUGCAUCUUAAAACCUCUUCUUGCCCUCAGAGUUCGUGAAUGGUUGUGGCUGCUAUUGAGUUGACUGAGACACAUUGAGAAAUGUUACUUUCAGCGGAUUGAAAAGUUAAAACGGCUUGCCCUGAUUUAUGAUCUUAAAAGGGAAAAUGUAACAUCUUUUAAAGUGGGAUCACAGGGGGCGCUCAGGAUCUGAACACAGACCCGUGAUGCAAAACCUAAAUGGAUCACAUGAAGCAGCCCAAGACCACUUCUAUGAUUUUCAACACAUCUGUACCUCUGUACAAAAGCAAGACUUCCACCAGAGGUUGUGUUGGUAUGUUGUGCAGGAUCCCAGGUCAGCGUCUGUGGCACAGCGCUGCCAGUCAAGUGCUGAAACUUGUGCAGAGCUCUGCUAAUGGACUGCUAAUAGGAGUGAAUGUUGCCCCACGAAGCUCCCCUGCAGUUGGAAGCGUCACACCGGGUGAUUAAUGACACUCUCCCUCUCUUCCCCUGUCUGUCCCUGUCCUCGCUUCAUAUCGCGCCCUCCUGGCUCGCUUCACUUGUACUCCAGGUUCUCUCCACUAAUCUUUCUGUCCCCUUCCCCUCUGGUGCGUCUUUGCAACCACCCUCUUUUCUCACCCGCACCUUUGCAAACUUCUAUUCUAACUGUCUGUGGAAUUCAGAGGAUGGUAUUUGCAGCAAUUUUUGUGUCACACCUCAGAGUUGUUCACACACUGAAGAAAGCGUUACACCUGAAUCGAGACUCUACUGUAACUCUAAUUCUUUGACACACCUGUAACUGAGGCAGACUACAGAUACCUGCCUUCUAUUUACAUUUUGAUCAUGAUUUCCCAGUUAAAUAUUCUUUUUAAUUUUUCAUUGUUCUGUAUAUUCUUCUUCUUCUCAAUAUGUAAUUAUUGCUCUUCAAACUGGAUUAAAGCUGUUUCAAUAGCACUUCCGAUAUAAUAUUUAUUUCAUGUCUCUAUUUCAAUUCAAUCCUAUU
This is a long non-coding RNA of Synchiropus splendidus (mandarinfish), 2525 nucleotides long. RefSeq lists it as uncharacterized. The transcript has 3 exons. NCBI's taxonomy places the organism in Eukaryota, Metazoa, Chordata, Actinopteri, Syngnathiformes, Callionymidae. The record is from RefSeq and is a predicted model, not a curated record.